RNAcentral lists this ribosomal RNA (497 nucleotides) under uncultured bacterium. RNAcentral describes it as "partial 16S ribosomal RNA". It matches the Rfam family "Bacterial small subunit ribosomal RNA", at positions 28 to 507 of the family's 1533-position model. The record is from RNAcentral.
GAUGAACGCUGGCGGCGUGCCUAAUACAUGCAAGUCGAGCGAACAGACGAGGAGCUUGCUCCUCUGACGUUAGCGGCGGACGGGUGAGUAACACGUGGAUAACCUACCUAUAAGACUGGGAUAACUUCGGGAAACCGGAGCUAAUACCGGAUCAUAUAUUGAACCGCAUGGUUCAAUAGUGAAAGACGGUUUUGCUGUCACUUAUAGAUGGAUCCGCGCCGCAUUAGCUAGUUGGUAAGGUAACGGCUUACCAAGGCAACGAUGCGUAGCCGACCUGAGAGGGUGAUCGGCCACACUGGAACUGAGACACGGUCCAGACUCCUACGGGAGGCAGCAGUAGGGAAUCUUCCGCAAUGGGCGAAAGCCUGACGGAGCAACGUCGCGUGAGUGAUGAAGGUCUUCGGAUCGUAAAACUCUGUUAUUAGGGAAGAACAAAUGUGUAAGUAACUAUGCACGUCUUGACGGUACCUAAUCAGAAAGCCACGGCUAACUACGUG